GACCGGUAGGUGAGGCUACACGGGGAUACGGAUUGCUACCGCAAAAAUGUGGAGACACAUUCGGACACAGGUGAUCAGGACUUGUCGAAUCCAAGGCAUGGCCUAAUGCAAUUUCAUUGCCCAGUGACGCUAAAGCUUGU
This 140-nucleotide small RNA is filed under the name human gut metagenome. RNAcentral describes it as "M-box riboswitch (ykoK leader)". It matches the Rfam family "M-box riboswitch aptamer (ykoK leader)", at positions 13 to 153 of the family's 169-position model. Rfam says of the family: M-box riboswitch, also know as ykoK leader is described as a metaloregulatory RNA that sense divalent metals and function as a genetic control element of genes related to divalent metal transport in bacteria. It was first reported upstream of the B.subtilis ykoK gene and genes with related functions in other bacteria. Phylogenetic analysis of the distribution of M-box RNAs across bacterial genomes revealed that M-box riboswitches are most often employed for the regulation of Mg2+ transporter genes The record is from RNAcentral.